Molecule: long non-coding RNA, 3720 nt
Filed under: Sus scrofa (pig)
Lineage: Eukaryota; Metazoa; Chordata; Mammalia; Artiodactyla; Suidae
Description: lncRNA (ENSSSCG00000058508.1)
Source: RNAcentral
CUUGCCCACCCCCGCCCCUGCCCACCGAGACCCCUGUCAGAGAGCCUGGCACCCCUACAGCCCAGCCGGAGCUGGCAGCUGCCAUGGAAAAGCCAGCCGGGCCUCCUGACCAGGCAGGCCCCGGAGGCCAGCACGUGGCCAGCCUGGUGCCGGCUGUUUCUGCCCCAGUGCCCGGUGUGGCCUGAGCCUGCCUGAGCAGAUGGUCUUGGAAGUGAGCUCGGCCUGAACGGGGUCGGGAGGGUCUGCCGGUCCCAUCUUCUCCGUCUCUGCCUCUGCUGGGCUCCCUCGCUGUCCUUGCUAUUGUCCUGGAGAAGCCGACAAGCUUGGCUGGCCAGGGGCACGGCGCGGCAUUGGUGAGGCGGGAAGUGACACGGCCCAGACGUCCCGCAGUGCCAGGUGUGCGGGACAGGAUCCCAGGGGCUCUGGUGUAGCCGACGCAGGACUGGAGGGUAGCGGGGGUGGCAGGAUGGUGCAGAGGGGUGCAGGCCGCCCUGCAGGUGCCUCAGGGAGCACCUGAUUGCAAGGGAGGCCCUCACGGCUUGUGGUGGCAGUGGGACCUCCCUUGGGGAGGAGGUCAAAGGACUCACGUUUGCUGAGGCCCUACUAUGUGCACAGUUCUUAUAAGUGUGACCUUGGCUAUUACCUGCCCACUUCAUACCCCCUGCCUCCACCCUUCCUGGGGGGGCCUUUGUCUAACUCCCAAAGCUUCCCACGUUUACCAGGUGAGUUUUCCUUGCAAGUUCUCCAGGGCAGCUGCUUCCCCAGAGGCCUGUCUGUGAACAUUUCCAGCUAUGGUUACCUCCUGGAUGGCUGCUCACCCACCGGGGCUGCAUCUUAGUGACCAAAAGAACACAGUUUCCAUGUGGGUUCCACUUUCUUUCUUUCCUUUUUUUUUGCAGGGGCUGGUGCGGGGUUUGGGGCCAUAUCCACGGCCUAUGGAAGUCCCCAAGCUAGGGGUCAAAUAGGAGCUAUAGCUGCCGACCACAGCCAUAGCCUCAGCCACAUCAAUGUGGCAUCCGAGCUGCAUCUGCAAACUUCCGCACAGCUUGCUGCAACGCCAGAUCCUUAACCCACUGAGCGAGGCCAGGGAUCGAACCCGCCGCCUCAUGGAUACUAGUCAGGUUCAUAAGCUGCUGAGCAACAACGGGAACUCCCUGGGCUCCACUUUCUGACUGCACUUGAAUCACGGGCUUUACCUCUCUGAGCCUCAGUUUCCUCACCUGUAAAAUGUGCAAGACCAGCCCACCUGGAAAGCUGGUUAUGAGGAUUAAGAGCGAUGAGGGGUGUGAGAUGCCAGGCACAGAGGAGGCACUGGCUCAGGGACCCACACUGCCUUCCCUCCUUGCAGGCUCUGUGGCUGAGACAAGUCACCCACCUCUGGGCCUUGAUUUCCUCGGCUCUCAAAUGAGCACACCCUGCCUGGUCACAGGGAGGGGAGGGAGAGGGGGAGAGUCACGUGGUGUGAGAGCCACCAGGGCUGUGCCCAGGGGCAACUGGUGCCCGUAUCUUCCCAUCUCUGCAGCGGAAGCUUUGGGCCAACGAAGGCGCCUCCCUGCCCUGUCGUGUUGCAGUCUGGGGGUCUUAGGGCCUCGCCUGCCCCCACAUGACUCUCACUCUUUGUCUCUCAGCUCCGAGGGUCAGCAGAGGCCUCCCACGGGACUUUGCUCUGAUUUUGCAGCUCAUGGAUGGGCCUGCUGCUGGGGCAGUCCUAGGUGGAGCCUCAGGGCUGCCCAGGCCAUAAGGGGGAGAGCGGGAGCCCCACCUUCACCCAAGGCCCAUAUCUGAGCAUCUGUUCCUGUCUAUCUGAUGUCUGCCAUUCUUUUGUGGGUAAGAGUCCCUCCAUAUGGAAACCCUGGGGGGUGGGGGGCGAAGGCGGAGGAAGAGGCUCUGCUGAGAUCUGCCAAGGGAUUGGGGCUGCUGCUCUUCUCUGCCUCGGAACCUUUGAACACGCUGCUCUUUCUGGCUGACAUACAGUUUCCCUCUUUCACGCCCAACUCCCACCCCUGGUAGCCAUUCACAUUUCAGCAGAGAGGCUUUUGCUGGACCACCUCCGCAAUCGCUAAUGGGCCUCCUUUGCAGUCUUGUUGAGGGGGCUCUGGUCUUUUCCUUCAAGCAGCUUUUACAACUUGGUUAUAUAUGUGUCUGUAAACUCUCAUGUUGUCUCUCUCCCCCACUGGACUGUUCACUCCAUGCUUAGGCAAGGAGAGGGGUUGGCCGAGUCUCCUGUUUAGCAGUGAAGACCCUGCGCCUAGAAUGAGGCCUGGAACAUGGUUGGUGCUCAGAAGGCCAGGACUGGAUUGAGAUGCAUCAGCUCUGCUCCCAUAGCAGGUGGCUAAACCCUUCUUGCCUGCCUGCUGGGCAUGGAGAACCAAAGAUGUUAGAAGCAUGAGGACUCUUGGGGAUCAUUGGUCCAAUAUGGUCAUUUCAGAGGCCCCCCCCAAGGCAAAGGCCUUCCCAGUGGAGGGAAAAGAGAGACUUGAACCCAGGCCUAAUGGCCCUCUGUCUGGUCUCUCUCCGGUCUUCUCUGGGCCAUGGCUAGUUAUUUCCCAGGGGUCACUUACAGGGGACCCAGGCCUCCCAGCCCCAGAGCUCCUUUGGAUGAAGGGUGGGGGGCAACAGGCUCAACUUCUUGGGAUUCCCCAGGAAGGCGAUGACACAGAAAUAAUAAUAAUAAAGCCUAAACAGUGACGGUUCCAGCACGGGCUGAGCAGCCUCUAAGUACUGUGAUACUAUGAACCCUUAGCAACCAGCCAAGGGAAGCGGUGUUACAAGGCUCGAAAUGGUGAGGUGACUUGCCCAAAGUCAUUCUGUGAGCAAGUGCCUGCGUGGAGACCCAAACCCAGGGCUGUUUGACUCGGAGAGCCUCGAACACUGCGUGCAGGUGUGCAGCUCCACGCUCUGCUGCUUGGCGUCAUUACUACCGUUUGCUUCUCAGAACAGGAAGGCGCUGGAGGAAGGGUGUUGGGAAGAACCCAGGCUUCCCCAAGAUGUAUCCUGAGAUGCACAGAUCCCUGCAAACAGCAUUCAGAACCAAGGUCACAGGCCUGUUGUGUCCUCAGCCGUGAUAUUGGAGGGUUGCCUCGGCCUCCUGGGUUGUUGUGUGAAGGCUGAGUCAGAAGAAAUAGGCUUGAACGGGUCUCGGGGGGAUCCUGGCACGAAGUGGGGCUCACAGGGCUGUCUCCCGCCAGGUCCCCCUUUCACCUCCUAGGAAAGGGAGCUGCUCUUGGAAUCCACAGUGAGGCCCAAGGUGGGGGACCAAACAUGCCCACAGACGCGGAGCAGGCCCAAGAUCACGGAAAGAGGCCUGAGUUGGAGUGAAGGCAAGUUCAAGAUCUGACCCUGCUGGGCGGGAGAGUCAUCCUGGUGCAAAACAUUCACUGCAAGGGGUGGGCACACAAUGUAGAGUUGAGAUGUGUGUGAAUUGCUGGUAUAUUGUUCAUGAAGCUUUCUUUUUUUCAUUUUUCUUGAAAUAUAGUUGAUUUACAAUGUUGUAUUAGUUUCAAGUGUACAGUAAAGUGGUUCAGUUUAUACAUGUACACACACAUAUUUUUAGAUUUUUUUCCAUUAUAGGUUAUUACGAGAUAUUGAAUAGUUUCCCGUGCUGUGCAGUAGGUCUUUGUUGUUUAUUUUCUAUGUAGUAAUGCAUACCUGUUAAUCCCAAAUUCCCAGUUUGUCGCUCCCCAACCCCCUUUCCCCUUUGGUAACCAUAAAUUUGUUUUC